RNAcentral lists this ribosomal RNA (327 nucleotides) under uncultured Pseudomonadota bacterium. Its description in RNAcentral is "bacterial SSU rRNA". It matches the Rfam family "Bacterial small subunit ribosomal RNA", at positions 30 to 351 of the family's 1533-position model. The record is from RNAcentral. Lineage: Bacteria; Pseudomonadati; Pseudomonadota.
AUUGAACGCUGGCGGUAUGCUUAACACAUGCAAGUCGAACGGCAGCAUUUUCUAGCUUGCUAGAGAGAUGGCGAGUGGCGAACGGGUGAGUAACGCGUAGGAAUAUGCCUUAAAGAGGGGGACAACUUGGGGAAACUCAAGCUAAUACCGCAUAAUCUCCAUGGAGAAAAGCUAGGGACCUUCGGGCCUGGCGCUUUAAGAUUAGCCUGCGUACGAUUAGCUAGUUGGUAGGGUAAAGGCCUACCAAGGCGACGAUCGUUAGCUGGUCUGAGAGGAUGACCAGCCACACUGGAACUGAGACACGGUCCAGACUCCUACGGGAGGCAG